AAGCAUGUAUCCCUAUCUGCCUUUCAACCUCCUAAGUGACACAAAUAUUAAAAUGUAUCUCCUCCAACUGUAUGCAAGAACAACUUGGAGAGACUUUGACAGCUCAGGUCUGCACAAUACCUGUAACUACCACUGGCCUUUCCUAUGAUG
Small nucleolar RNA from Perognathus longimembris pacificus (Pacific pocket mouse), 150 nucleotides. RefSeq annotates it as small nucleolar RNA SNORA44. The transcript has a single exon. Lineage: Eukaryota; Metazoa; Chordata; Mammalia; Rodentia; Heteromyidae. The record is from RefSeq and is a predicted model, not a curated record.